Molecule: transfer RNA, 62 nt
Filed under: Ictidomys tridecemlineatus (thirteen-lined ground squirrel)
Lineage: Eukaryota; Metazoa; Chordata; Mammalia; Rodentia; Sciuridae
Description: Spermophilus tridecemlineatus (thirteen-lined ground squirrel) tRNA
Rfam family: tRNA
About the family: Transfer RNA (tRNA) molecules are approximately 80 nucleotides in length. Their secondary structure includes four short double-helical elements and three loops (D, anti-codon, and T loops).
Source: Rfam by way of RNAcentral
AUGUAGCUCAGUGGUAGAGCGCAUGCUUUGCAUGUGUGAUGCCCUGGGUUUGAUCUCAGCAU